ACAAACAGAUUUAUUAAUUUUUUUGGUUGUGGUAAAAUGAUUUAAUUAUAUAUUAUGAAAAUUUUAGGUGAAAUUUAAUUUUCAUAAAUGUUUUAAAUGUAAUUCCACUAAAUUAACUUAAAAACUAGGAUUAGAUACCCUAUUAUUUUUAACCUAAAUUUAUUAGCCUUGUUAUUAACAGUUAAAUUCUCUAAAACAAAAAGAUUUGGCGGUAUUUUAAUCCUGUCAGAGGAACCUGUCCUAUAAUUGAUAUUCCACGGUUGACCAGCUUUUUCUAAAUUUACAUAUCGUUGUAAAAGAUCAUUUUUAUUGGUAAUGUCUAUUAAAUUUUAUUAAAUUUUAAAUCAGAUCAAGGUGUAGUCUAUGAAAUAGAAGAGAUGGGUUACAAUUUAUCAAUAAAUGGAUUUAUUUUUGUAAAAUUUAAUGAAUUUGGAUUUGAAAGUAAUUUUAUAUUCAUUUUUAAAAUGAUUUUGGCUCUAAAAU
This 483-nucleotide ribosomal RNA is filed under the name Sumitrosis inaequalis. RNAcentral's name for it is "partial 12S small subunit ribosomal RNA". The record is from RNAcentral. Lineage: Eukaryota; Metazoa; Arthropoda; Insecta; Coleoptera; Chrysomelidae.